AAAAACAGUUGGNCUGCCCACUGANNGGUUUAAAGGNCCGCGGUANAAUGACCGUGCAAAGGUAGCAUAAUAAUUAGUCUUUUAAUUGAAGCCUGGAAUGAAGGGUCGGACAAAAAGUAACCUGUCUCCUUUUUAAAAAUUGAACUUAACUUUUAAGUGAAAAGGCUUAAAUACUCUUAAAGGACGACAAGACCCUAUAAAACUUUAUAAAAACAGGAUUAAACUUUUAAUUUAUUUUUUNNNNNUAACAAAGAUUAGUACUGCUUUUAUUUCGUUGGGGCGACGAAAGUAUAACUUUUUAACUGCUUUUUAUUUUUUAACAAAAAUAUUUGUUUUUGCUGACCCUUUUUUAAGAUCUAAAGAAAAAGUUACUUUAGGGAUANCAGCGNUAUUUUCUUUGAGAGUCCANAUCGACAAGAAAGCUUNUGACCUCGAUGGUGAAUUAAAANNCCCACUAUNGGUGCAGCAAUUAUAGANNGGGAGGUCUGUUCGACCUUU
This 498-nucleotide ribosomal RNA is filed under the name Arenallianassa arenosa. RNAcentral's name for it is "partial 16S ribosomal RNA". It matches the Rfam family "Archaeal large subunit ribosomal RNA", at positions 1937 to 2658 of the family's 2987-position model. Lineage: Eukaryota; Metazoa; Arthropoda; Malacostraca; Decapoda; Callianassidae. The record is from RNAcentral.